GGCCCAUUCCCACAGGAGAGCACAGGAGAGAGGGAGCCCUCUCUCCUCCUCCCCGUCCGCACACGGAGAGCCACAGGAGAAGAGGAGCGGAGGAGGCCGGGGGGUGUGCUGGCGGACAGGAUGUGACCCCCCAGACGGACAGAGAGAGGGGGGCAGGAGAGGAGAGUGAAGGAGAAAGAGACAAGCUUCUCUUGCAGAACUGGCUCCCCCUGCAGAUCAAAGGUUGAAAGGUCAGGGCUCCUGUGCCCUUGUGGUGUGUCUCAACUCCAACCCUGACCACCUGAGACCCCACCCCCUCCUCCACGCACACACACAUGGGCACAAACACGUGCACACGCGGCCACACACACACUCAACAGGGCUCUCUCCAGGACUCCACUCCCAACAUGACAGCAUUGAAUCGGCUGCCCCCUGCAUGCUCCAGGGACAGGUUUAGAACCCGGUUAGUACCCCUCACACCCCCUCCCCCUGGGUGAAGGACACACAGCCCCUGUCGCCCCCCUCUGACGCCCUGGAGGAUGAUGGGAGUGGGGGUCUACUCCAAGUGUGGCAGUGGGAUUUGAGACACAGCUCUGGUCUUGCUUUUGUCUUCAUGGUGACUGGAUUCUUUUUUUUUCUCUGUUAAAUAUUUUUUUUCUAUUAAAAUAAAAAAAACACAGGAGCUGUUUGUA
Lepisosteus oculatus (spotted gar) is the source of this 671-nucleotide non-coding RNA. NCBI's taxonomy places the organism in Eukaryota, Metazoa, Chordata, Actinopteri, Semionotiformes, Lepisosteidae. The record is from RefSeq and is a predicted model, not a curated record.